AUUGUUUUAAUUUUUUCGAAAUGAUUUAUCAAAAUGAGAUAGUUGAAGGGUAGUUGAUUGAUUAAUUAAUUUGAUGAUGUUUUUUGGCACUUGAAAUUAUCUCUUAUAGAUCCAUGCUUUUUUUUGUUUAUGAAUUCUAUGAUUCUGUAUAGUGGGCAGUACUCGAUGAAUGAGUUCGAUACUUAAUUAGACAGUUGAAUGAAGUCUUGAUGUUAGUAUAAAGUUUUAGAUCCAAAUAUGUUGAUGUUGAAUGAAAUUAUGAGCUCUGAACAAAGUUAAUAGAUCCACUGUGUCGACAGUUUUGAGUUUUUAUUAUUUUGUGGAAUUUACUUGAAUAGUUGACUCUGGUUGAGUAGUUGAUAGUUGAAUGAAGUUUAUCUUAGCUUCUGGGUUUUGUAUUUUGGAUCCAAUCUUAACAUAAGUGUUUUGCAUUUUGAAUGAGUUUUUGGACUUGAAAUGAGUUUGAAGCAAAGAUGGAUCUACGGUGUAGCGUAUCCCCUCAACAAUUAGGUAUUUUUUUUAAAAGAAAAAUUAUGUGUAUAUAUAGAUUGUGGAUCUCCGAACAUAAGAUUAAACAUUGGCUCAGUGGUUGAGGAAUUCAAAAUUCGGUUAGAGGUUUCAAGUUUGAAGCUCAAACACUACAUUUUUAUUUUUCGAAUCCCCUUAGUCAAAAUCAUGGAUCCGCCACGGGUUUGAAGAAUGUUAAUUGGUGC
RNAcentral lists this unclassified non-coding RNA (713 nucleotides) under Hevea brasiliensis (rubber tree). The record is from RNAcentral. Lineage: Eukaryota; Viridiplantae; Streptophyta; Magnoliopsida; Malpighiales; Euphorbiaceae.